UUGGAAUUAAUAGUGGCUUAUAAGAGGACGAGGCGGGUGUGGACGGGCGUAAAUAUUUAUAUCUGUCAGUCAAAACGGAUGAUGCCUUCGUUUCGAACAAGCAUGUUUAUAACAGGGAAAUGUUCAACAAAAAUUAAAAACUUCGUUUAUAGGCACACUUAAGCAAGAUGUUGAAGUACUCUUGCUGUUUGUAAAUAAUACAAAGCUGUAAUAAAUCACUUGCAAAAAGACUAACAGUUCGCAUCAAAUAGAACUAAAAAAAUAAAUGCAUACAUUCCAGAAUACA
Rhagoletis pomonella (apple maggot) is the source of this 286-nucleotide long non-coding RNA. RefSeq lists it as uncharacterized. The transcript is spliced from 2 exons. NCBI's taxonomy places the organism in Eukaryota, Metazoa, Arthropoda, Insecta, Diptera, Tephritidae. The record is from RefSeq and is a predicted model, not a curated record.